Onychostruthus taczanowskii (white-rumped snowfinch) is the source of this 558-nucleotide long non-coding RNA. RefSeq lists it as uncharacterized. The record is from RefSeq and is a predicted model, not a curated record. Lineage: Eukaryota; Metazoa; Chordata; Aves; Passeriformes; Passeridae. The transcript is spliced from 2 exons.
CCAGCGUUUACCCCAAACCCCUCCUGAUUUAAAAAAAAGAACCAACAAACAAGACAAACUGCAGCGAAAUGGCUGAAACAUGUUGUAACCAUCUGUGAAAUUCGGGCUCUCAUGACCCGAGAGAGGGGGGAGAAAGCGAGCGAGACAGCGAUUUGAGGAGGGGAAGAAAGCCCCAGCGAGAGCCAGGCGCGGGUAAGCGGCAGAACUGGCUCCGCAGCAGGAAGUGCAAGAGGCACGCACGGCUCGGCGCGGCGGCGGGAGAGCCUCUGUGGGGGAGUGACACUUCCAAGCUCACGGCUCCCCGGCCAUGCCUGCGUGCGGCUCGCUGCCUCUCCCCUGGGAAGCCGGGCGGCCUCUGCGUGAGCGGCGCGGAUAAAUAACUCAGGGGGAAGCCCGGUGUGGUUCCCAAACGGUGUGCCUCGUCGGGAAAGUCAUCCCUUGCUUUCAGCCCUCGGUCGCUUACUGUCAGUGCCAAAUGUUAAAUCAGCUGUGAUUCAGACUACUGAAGACAAUCACAUGAUGCGUGUAAGAACUAUAUAAAGAACAACAAAAAAAGGA